UCACCUGACAUCACCAAAUUAGAGGAUAUAUUUUAGAACUAUUAACAUGGAUAGCUCCCCUUAAGAGCAUCUUAAGAGCACUGCAAACACGUUCGCGCCACGGACAUGUUCGGGAAACCGUCGGAAAAAACAAACGAACGAUCUUAAGAUGAAUCAUACAAAACCAUCUUAAGAGC
Alosa sapidissima (American shad) is the source of this 176-nucleotide long non-coding RNA. RefSeq lists it as uncharacterized. The record is from RefSeq and is a predicted model, not a curated record. The transcript is spliced from 3 exons. NCBI's taxonomy places the organism in Eukaryota, Metazoa, Chordata, Actinopteri, Clupeiformes, Clupeidae.